Molecule: ribosomal RNA, 549 nt
Filed under: uncultured bacterium
Lineage: Bacteria
Description: bacterial SSU rRNA
Rfam family: Bacterial small subunit ribosomal RNA
Source: RNAcentral
AGAGUUUGAUCCUGGCUCAGGAUGAACGCUGGCGGCGUGCUUAACACAUGCAAGUCGAACGGAGUGUAAACGCUGAAGCGAUUUCGGUCAAUUCUUGUUUAUACUUAGUGGCGGACGGGUGAGUAACGCGUGGGUAACCUGCCGUAUGCAGGGGGACAACAGUUGGAAACGACUGCUAAUACCGCAUAAGCGCACAGUAUCGCAUGGUACAGUGUGAAAAGAUUUAUCGGCAUACGAUGGACCCGCGUCUGAUUAGCUAGUUGGUGAGGUAACGGCCCACCAAGGCGACGAUCAGUAGCCGGCCUGAGAGGGUGAACGGCCACAUUGGGACUGAGACACGGCCCAAACUCCUACGGGAGGCAGCAGUGGGGAAUAUUGGACAAUGGGGGAAACCCUGAUCCAGCGACGCCGCGUGAGUGAAGAAGUAUUUCGGUAUGUAAAGCUCUAUCAGCAAGGAAGAAAAUGACGGUACUUGACUAAGAAGCUCCGGCUAAAUACGUGCCAGCAGCCGCGGUAAUACGUAUGGAGCAAGCGUUAUCCGGAUUUACU